CUCCAUGAAGUUGGAUUCGCUAGUAAUCGCGCAUCAGCCAUGGCGCGGUGAAUACGUUCCCGGGCCUUGUACACACCGCCCGUCAAGCCAUGGGAGCUGGGGGUGCCUGAAGUUCGUGACCGCAAGGAGCGACCUAGGGCAAAACCGGUGACUGGGGCUAAGUCGUAACAAGGUACC
RNAcentral lists this ribosomal RNA (177 nucleotides) under uncultured bacterium. RNAcentral describes it as "partial 16S ribosomal RNA". It matches the Rfam family "Bacterial small subunit ribosomal RNA", at positions 1316 to 1500 of the family's 1533-position model. The record is from RNAcentral.